Molecule: ribosomal RNA, 524 nt
Filed under: Limosilactobacillus fermentum
Lineage: Bacteria; Bacillati; Bacillota; Bacilli; Lactobacillales; Lactobacillaceae
Description: bacterial SSU rRNA
Rfam family: Bacterial small subunit ribosomal RNA
Source: RNAcentral
UUGCACCUGAUUGAUUUUGGUCGCCAACGAGUGGCGGACGGGUGAGUAACACGUAGGUAACCUGCCCAGAAGCGGGGGACAACAUUUGGAAACAGAUGCUAAUACCGCAUAACAACGUUGUUCGCAUGAACAACGCUUAAAAGAUGGCUUCUCGCUAUCACUUCUGGAUGGACCUGCGGUGCAUUAGCUUGUUGGUGGGGUAAUGGCCUACCAAGGCGAUGAUGCAUAGCCGAGUUGAGAGACUGAUCGGCCACAAUGGGACUGAGACACGGCCCAUACUCCUACGGGAGGCAGCAGUAGGGAAUCUUCCACAAUGGGCGCAAGCCUGAUGGAGCAACACCGCGUGAGUGAAGAAGGGUUUCGGCUCGUAAAGCUCUGUUGUUAAAGAAGAACACGUAUGAGAGUAACUGUUCAUACGUUGACGGUAUUUAACCAGAAAGUCACGGCUAACUACGUGCCAGCAGCCGCGGUAAUACGUAGGUGGCAAGCGUUAUCCGGAUUUAUUGGGCGUAAAGAGAGUGCAG